AGGAUGCGUGGAACAUUCACCCCCCGGGCCCUGCUCUCCUCCUCUACCUCUCUUUUGCCUUCCUUUCCAGCAAUUCAUCUCCACGAGGCCAUUUGCAAGUGUAGGCACUUGCCUCCUUAUCCAAUCCUUAUCCCACACUUUCGAACAUGAGCCCAUAUUAUAACAACCAUCAAUGCUUCAAUUGCCACUAUCAUAACUAUAAUUAUUAUUUGCAUCAUCAUCACCACCAC
This 230-nucleotide long non-coding RNA is filed under the name Elaeis guineensis (African oil palm). RNAcentral describes it as "long non-coding RNA (EGUI_LNC005700)". Lineage: Eukaryota; Viridiplantae; Streptophyta; Magnoliopsida; Arecales; Arecaceae. The record is from RNAcentral.